Molecule: ribosomal RNA, 252 nt
Filed under: uncultured bacterium
Lineage: Bacteria
Description: partial 16S ribosomal RNA
Rfam family: Bacterial small subunit ribosomal RNA
Source: RNAcentral
UACGUAGGGGGCGAGCGUUGUCCGGAAUCAUUGGGCGUAAAGCGCGUGUAGGCGGCUUGGUAAGUCCGGUGUGAAACCUUGGGGCUCAACCCCAAGCCUGCACUGGAUACUGCUUCGCUUGAGUCCGGGAGGGGAGAGCGGAAUUCCUAGUGUAGCGGUGAAAUGCGCAGAUAUUAGGAAGAACACCGGUGGCGAAGGCGGCUCUCUGGAACGGUACUGACGCUGAGACGCGAAAGCGUGGGGAGCGAACAG